Long non-coding RNA from Haliotis rubra (blacklip abalone), 200 nucleotides. RefSeq lists it as uncharacterized. The transcript is spliced from 3 exons. NCBI's taxonomy places the organism in Eukaryota, Metazoa, Mollusca, Gastropoda, Lepetellida, Haliotidae. The record is from RefSeq and is a predicted model, not a curated record.
CCUAAGCUAUGUAGCAGCCCCAUUUGAGCUUAAGACUAACGUCUGCGUGGAACCGCAGCAAUUCAACAUUCAAACGAAAGACUUCUUUCUACCAUCACUACAACAGAUUGGUGACAGUAUCAAAGACAUUCGAGAAUUCUACUGUCCUCGUGGUAAACUUAGCAUUGUGCCUAAAAGCCUUACCGCCAGUCUAAAGAGGA